UACGGAGGAUGCGAGCGUUAUCCGGAUUUAUUGGGUUUAAAGGGUGCGUAGGCGGGCUUUUAAGUCAGCGGUAAAAAUGCGGCGCUCAACCCCGGCGAGCCGUUGAAACUGGCAGGCUAGAGACGGCGAGAGGUAUGCGGAAUGCGCAGUGUAGCGGUGAAAUGCAUAGAUAUUGCGCAGAACUCCGAUUGCGAAGGCAGCGUACUGGCGCCGGCCUGACGCUGAGGCACGAAAGCGUGGGUAUCGAACAGG
This 252-nucleotide ribosomal RNA is filed under the name uncultured bacterium. RNAcentral describes it as "partial 16S ribosomal RNA". It matches the Rfam family "Bacterial small subunit ribosomal RNA", at positions 524 to 776 of the family's 1533-position model. The record is from RNAcentral.